UACGGGGGGGGGCAAGCGUUGUUCGGAAUUACUGGGCGUAAAGGGCUCGUAGGCGGCCAACUAAGUCAGACGUGAAAUCCCCCAGGCUCAACCUGGGAACUGCGUCUGAUACUGGAUGGCUUGAAUUCGGGAGAGGGAUGCAGAAUUCCAGGUGUAGCGGUGAAAUGCGUAGAUAUCUGGAGGAACACCGGUGGCGAAGGCGGGUCUCUGGGCCGAUACUGACGCUGAGGAGCGAAAGCGUGGGGAGCAAACAGG
RNAcentral lists this ribosomal RNA (255 nucleotides) under uncultured bacterium. RNAcentral's name for it is "partial 16S ribosomal RNA". It matches the Rfam family "Bacterial small subunit ribosomal RNA", at positions 524 to 776 of the family's 1533-position model. The record is from RNAcentral.